Molecule: ribosomal RNA, 280 nt
Filed under: uncultured bacterium
Lineage: Bacteria
Description: partial 16S ribosomal RNA
Rfam family: Bacterial small subunit ribosomal RNA
Source: RNAcentral
CCUACGGGAGGCAGCAGUGGGGAAUAUUGGGCAAUGGAGGAAACUCUGACCCAGCGACGCCGCGUGCGGGAUGAAGGCCUUCGGGUUGUAAACCGCUUUCAGUAGGGAAGAAGCGAAAGUGACGGUACCUACAAAAGAAGCACCGGCUAACUAUGUGCCAGCAGCCGCGGUAAUACAUAGGGUGCAAGCGUUGUCCGGAAUUAUUGGGCGUAAAGAGCUCGUAGGUCGUUUGUUACGUCGGAUGUGAAAACCUGAGGCUCAACCUCAGGCCUGCAUUCGA